GCGUUUGAGAGACCUUGGCAGGGCUCAGUUGGAAACAAUCUCCUCCCUUUGCAAACCAGAGCAGGGAGACCCAAGCAGUCUACUUCCGAGGCAGGCCCUUCCCCGUGGCUGAGGCAGGGAGGGUCUCCUCAUGAGGACGUGGCUCUGCGACUUUACUUUCACUGGAAACGGAAGCUGUCUGUGUUUCCACCUUGCAUGCUUGUCGGGGGAUGUAGGCUGUUGAUGACCAGGAUGAAAAAUUUAUAUGGGGAGGUGUCAGGAGAACAUUUCAGGAGCCCGGGACUCCAACCUGCCGGCUCUUUCCAAGCUGGAAAUACCUUCUCCUGAGCCACGGUGAUGGACGUGAGGAGAGAAGGACUCAGGGCAGCGUCUGGGGUGCUGACCCCAGCCAUCGACGUGAGACGCUGGCCCUGCAGUGCAGCCCAGCCCCUCAGUGGUGAAUCAGUGCAUGUGGACACAGGACUGUCAUGAUGCAAACCCUCUGGAGAAAAUACUGGAAGAGAAAAAUCUGGUCUUCAUUCUCUCUGACUGUCCCAAGGUGAACCCUGGGCUUCAAGGAGAUUCCUCUACCCCGGGGCACCAAAAGUCAGAGGCCUUCAGUUCAGCUGCAUGUCAGAAUUCCUCAACAGAAAUGUCUUGGAAUAUCAGUUCCUGGGCCCCACCCUCAGAGCAUCCUACCUCUGUUGAUCUGAGGUUGGGGGGAAUCCUGUGUGGCGGAGCACUGGGCAAGUGGACGAGGUGGGGCAGCCCCAGGCCCGGGCAUCACUUGUGUAAAGUCUUCCAGGUGAUACUGACACAUGGGCAGACCCAAGAGACACUGUCCUAAGCAUCGCUCUUCCUGCCACUCUGCUUCAGAAGGUCCUUUCCCUUCACCACGGAACAGCCCAUCUGCCUCCUUCUCAUCAUGGAAUCAUCAUGGAAUCCCCUUCCAAGCCCGUCUCAUGUGGGCUUUUCCUUGAAACUUUCUCCCUCCUCCAGCCCAACCAGGCCCGAUGCCUUGGUCACUCGAAUACUCAUAGUGUUUACUUCCCGCUGUUACUUCCCCUCUCGGGCCUCAUGUGAUGGUGGUUGGCCAGGUAGCCUGACCACACGAUGAUGGUGUGUGCUUAGAAAGGACCUCACGGACAUCUUGCCCAACUUCUGGCUCUGUGAGGGAGCAAGGCUCAGGCAGUAUUGGGUCUGAGUUCGCAGCUUGGUGUCCUGUUAUCCCUUUUCUAAAUUAAAAAGGCUGGAAUUGAUUCCAGUUCAAAUUCUAAGGCCACUCUUCUUGCACCUCCCUAGCUGUGUACUUCACAUCACUUUAAAAUGCUUUGCAGAAUGGGACUUCCCCGCAGUCCAGUGGUGAAGGCUCUGCGCUCCCACUGCAGGAGGCAUGGGUUCAAGCUCUGUCUGGAAACUAAGAUUCCACAGGCAGCACUGCAUGGCCAAAAUAAAUAGAUAAAAUGAAAUGUUUUGUAGAAAAUCAAUUCUAUAAUCACGUUGUAGAACAGAAGCAUGUUGUUCAGAUAUUACAUCUGAGUAUUAAUUAACUGCUACAAAUCACAAUCCAUAGCUACAAAUACAAUCCAAUAUUUUCAAAACAACCCAAUUUUUUCGAAAAAAAAACCCUGAUUGACUUAGAUUUCAGUUUCUAAGUUUACUACAUGAAAUACACUUUUAAAGAAUAAGCUGCUACACUUUGGGGGCUUCCCUGGUGGCUCAGAUGGUUAGGAAUCCACUUGCAAUACACGAGACCUGGGUUCGAUCCCUGUGUCAGGAAGAUCCCCUGGAGGAGGGCAUGGCAACCCACUCCAGUACUCUUGCCUGGAGAAUCCCAUGGACAGAGGAGCCUGGCAGGCUACAGCCUACUGGGUUGCAGAGUCAGACACAACUGAGAGGCUAACACAUACUUUGCUUCUGGGAGAUGAGGUCUUUUGCUGGUUUCUCUCACUGGGCUCGGGCAGUGGUUUCAGUUGAACAGUGAAUGAGCAGCUCCAUCAUCCUUUCUUACCUUCCUCUCCUCCCCAAAUGCUCUAAUCCCUGUAGCUGUGCUCUAAAGUCUUAUGUAUUGGUCCCUGAUACUGUAAUUACAAUAAACGGAUAACCAGGGAUGUGGAAAACGACCAUUUGCUCCUUUGUAAAGUUCUUCAUGUCUUGCUGGUCUGGAUGUCAGUAUUCCUACCUCCACGAACUUAGGGUACCAGGGGACAGAAGAUACACCAUUCUCUGCACCACUAAGGAUGAAAGAUCUGGGACAAAUAAAUGGGCGAGCUGUCCAUGUAAGAUGCCAUUGACCAGCCACCUGCGCCUGAAAACAUCAAAAGAUAUGUGUUCUAGGACCUCUGAGGUGGGGAGAUCCAGUUCAUCCUUGCUUCCUCCCUAGGAGUUGCACAUUGACUCCAUUUUCACCUCCCGUGGUUGUCCAGAGUGGAUUCUGGAUCCUAGGUCCAGGAUCCUUAAUAGUGGCCACGUCACCUUGCUCCUCCUCUUGUAUAAUUUAUUGGGUUACUUUGCACCCAAAGAGGCAUUGUGUUAAUUGCUCAGUCAUGUCCGACUCUUUGCGACCCCAUGGGCUAUAGCUCGCCAGGCUCCUCUGUUCGUGGGAGUCUCCAGUCAUUACCAUUCCGUAAGAAGGGAGUUUUUCAUUUGGUACAAGGCGCUUUUAUUGUGUAGCUGUAGCACAGUCCAGGAGCUUGAAGACGUGGUCUCUUUAAGAGUCAAGUUCAGUGGUACUCCAUCAGCUCUUCUGGGAGCCUUUUCUGAACUCCUCAGUGACUUCCAUGGCAGUAACUGAAGUUAUUUCCUGUGACAGAAACUUCAUUACAUGAUCCCCUUUUGAAACACCAUGAUGUUUCUCAGUUG
This is a long non-coding RNA of Bos taurus (domestic cattle), 2841 nucleotides long. Lineage: Eukaryota; Metazoa; Chordata; Mammalia; Artiodactyla; Bovidae. The record is from Ensembl.